GGGAGAUGCCCAUUUGAGAUGCGGGCUGUGAGUUUAAUGGUAGGUUUGGGUAUGGUUUGAAAUGGAAUCAUCACAAAUUGUAACUUCCUUGACUCGGAAUCAAUGAGCUUUUCAAACAGUUACAGAUGUUGGAAUUUGUAACUUUUCAUAUAUAAAAGUAUCUUAUGAGGUACAUUUACCAAGCCUUGAAACAAACCCAAGUACUGAGAUAAAAGUUCAAACUAUAUAGAGUGCUUUGAUGCUGAAAGGAACAGAAAUAAUUGUUUAUAUGUGUAUUUGACAUUCCACCCAGAAGGGGUUAAAUCCCUGCUUUAGUUGAUGUAUUUUCUUCCUUAUGAAUUAAACACUAAAGUAUGUCCAUUUCAUCACUUUCUUUACACACCUAACUCUCCCUUUAUUGUGCCUUGUCUCUACUUGUCUGCAGAAAGAUCUCUCCAUAUUUUGCUUCUGACGCCAAAUAACCGUGAUCACUUACGAUGAAAGAGUAUUGGUUAAUGAGAUUGUUGAGAAAGUUCUGUUUUGUUUAUAAAGUCAUUCCUAUCUUUUUCAUAAUGCAUCUUUUCUCUUUGGACCAAGAGCAUUGAUCCUACAUCUGUUUUUUUGCUGAAUGUUUUCAUUUGAGGUUGAUGAUAGGACUUUUAUGAAUCAGAGCUGGAUUCUGUCAGUUAGAAAGGAAGAUUGCCAACAGGUAUGCUCAGUGGAGGCUGGGAAGAGUCUAGUGCUGAUGGUGAAGAUGAGUUCUUUUGUCCAUCAUCCUGAGCAGAGCAGUUUCGUGGAUACAUUUGGUGCCACUGAUAACACACAAGACUUGAUAUAUUUGGCAUUAAACUCAGGACAAAAGAAGACACAAACUUGAUCUUGUGGUUUGGGUCCUCCAAUCCUCGUAAAAGUGUGGUUUCACCUGUUACCUCAUAAAGGUGCCAUUGCUGUAUGCACAUCUGAAUCUAUUUACAAUUUGAGAAUAGAGGUGAGAAAGAAUGAUUUACUAUUUUGUGACAUUCGUAUGGUCAAAAUUUUUA
Molecule: long non-coding RNA, 1019 nt
Filed under: Rhinopithecus bieti (black snub-nosed monkey)
Lineage: Eukaryota; Metazoa; Chordata; Mammalia; Primates; Cercopithecidae
Description: lncRNA (ENSRBIG00000045640.1)
Source: RNAcentral